RNAcentral lists this ribosomal RNA (424 nucleotides) under uncultured bacterium. Its description in RNAcentral is "bacterial SSU rRNA". It matches the Rfam family "Bacterial small subunit ribosomal RNA", at positions 355 to 774 of the family's 1533-position model. The record is from RNAcentral.
UCGAGAAUCUUCGGCAAUGGGGGAAACCCUGACCGAGCGACGCCGCGUGCGGGAUGAAGGCCCUUGGGUUGUAAACCGCUGUCGUAAGGGAACAAAUCUAAGAGGGUACUCCCUUUUAGUUGAGUGAUCUUAGGAGGAAGGACGGGCUAAGUUCGUGCCAGCAGCCGCGGUAAGACGAACCGUCCGAACGUUAUUCGGUAUCACUGGGCUUAAAGAGUUCGUAGGCGGCCCGACAGGUCAGGUGUGAAAUCCCUCGGCUCAACCGAGGAACUGCGCUUGAAACCGUCAGGCUUGAGGGAGAUAGAGGUGAGCGGAACAGAUGGUGGAGCGGUGAAAUGCGUUGAUAUCAUCUGGAACACCGGUGGCGAAAGCGGCUCACUGGAUCUUUUCUGACGCUGAGGAACGAAAGCUAGGGUAGCGAACG